AGACUGAGUUCAGUUCCCAGCGUGAGACGGGGCGACUGUGAGGUUUACCACACCUGGUUACAGCUGCCAGUUAAUCGGGCAGACUGAGUUCAGUUCCCAGUGUGAGACGGGGCGGCUGUGAGGUUUACCACACCUGGUUACAGCUGCCAGUUAAUCGGGCAGACUGAGUUCAGUUCCCAGUGUGAGACGGGGCGGCUGUGAGGUUUACCACAGCUGGUUACAGCUGCCAGUUAAUCGGACAGACCGAGUUCAGUUCCCAGUGUGAGACGGGGCGG
This is a long non-coding RNA of Brienomyrus brachyistius, 275 nucleotides long. RefSeq lists it as uncharacterized. The transcript has 3 exons. Lineage: Eukaryota; Metazoa; Chordata; Actinopteri; Osteoglossiformes; Mormyridae. The record is from RefSeq and is a predicted model, not a curated record.